This is a long non-coding RNA of Amphiprion ocellaris (clown anemonefish), 1473 nucleotides long. RefSeq lists it as uncharacterized. The record is from RefSeq and is a predicted model, not a curated record. The transcript has 2 exons. NCBI's taxonomy places the organism in Eukaryota, Metazoa, Chordata, Actinopteri, Pomacentridae.
UCAAGGGACAUAUUUCAUUCAAAGUGGAAGUCUAAUCUUAUCAUGUAAGAGUACAGUUCAUGUAAAUAAGAUGGGUUGCUGUAGUUGAUGGUUGAUUUAACAGCUUCAUCCAUCAGUUUACACACACAUUGGUGCAAAUGCAAAGAAACUGACUACCCAUUGCAUUGCAUCUGCAUAUAUGCUACAUUAUUUACAUUAUUUUAGGACAUACAGACCUGAUCAAAAUCUUAAGACCAGUUGAAAAAUAGCUAAAAUUUACCUUUUGCACAUUUGGAACUUAAUGAGGUUUUAAGUAGAGCUACAAUAUGCAAAAGUAAGAAGGGGGAGUGAGACAAAAAGCACUUUGAAAAAGUAAUUUAUUGAAAACAACAAGUAAACUGAAAUAGGCUGUUUAUCAGCUGAUCAAAAGUUUAAGACCAUCGCUCAAAAAAUUACAAAAAACUCUCCAAACCAGAACAAAAAAUGUUCUCAGUAGGACUCAGUAAUGAGUAGCUCCACUGUUCUUGUUAAUCACUUCAAAAAUUGGUUUGGGGAUGCUUGAUGCGAGUGUUUCCAGGAGGCUGGUGGGAACAUUGCUCCAAGUGGUGAAGAUGGCUUCAUGAAGGGCAUCAACUGUCUGGAACUGAUGGCCAUUUUAUAAACUUCCCUUGCCAUCCAUCCCCAAAUGUUCUCUAUGGGAUUUAAAUCAGGGGAACAUGCGGGAUGGUCCAAAAGAGUGAUGGUAUUCUACCUGAAGAAGUUCUUGGUCAAGCGAGCAUUGUGAACUGCAGCGUUGUCCUGUUGAAAAACCCAGCUGUUACCACACAGACGAGGGCCCUCAGUCAUGAGGGAUGCCUGCUGCAACAUCUGCACGUAACCAGCCGCCGUUUGACGACCUGCACCACCUGAAGCUCCAGUGUUCCACUGAAUGAAAAAGCACCCAGAUCAUGAUGGACCCCCCUCCACUGUGCCGGGUAGAAAACAUCUCAGGUGGGAUCUCCUUGUCAUGCCAGUAACAUUGGAAGCCAUCUGGACCGUCAAGAUGCCGUCUGAUGGUUAUUGCGCUGCAGUCGGCACCAGUAAGGGCCUUAAUUUGGGUCGAGGACCUCCCUGCGUCUUGACGGACAGCCAAUCGGAUCCUCCGGCUCAGCGCAGGUGUAAUUUUUUUGGGUCUACCACUUGACUUUUUUGUUCCAUAAUGCUCAGGAUCUUUCAAAAAAUUUAGAAUGACUGUCUUACUGCGUCCAACCUCAGCAGCAAUGGCACGCUGCGAGAGGCCUUGAUUAUGCAGCUCGACCAUCCGACCACGUUCAAGAAGAGAAAGCUUCUUAGCUGUAGCCAUCAGGAGGGCAUGACCAUGUGAAUGUCUGACAGAAGAUGAGAAUUUUGAGCAGAUUUGGGCUUUUAUAGCCUGUGGUCUUAAACUUUUGAUCAGCUGAUAAACAGCCUAUUUCAGUUUACUUGUUGUUUUCAAUAAAUUACUUUUUCAAAGUG